This 253-nucleotide ribosomal RNA is filed under the name uncultured bacterium. RNAcentral's name for it is "partial 16S ribosomal RNA". It matches the Rfam family "Bacterial small subunit ribosomal RNA", at positions 524 to 776 of the family's 1533-position model. The record is from RNAcentral.
UACAGAGGUCCCAAGCGUUGUUCGGAUUCAUUGGGCGUAAAGGGUGCGUAGGUGGCGCCGUAGGUCAGGUGUGAAAUCUCGGGGCUUAACUCCGAAACUGCAUUUGAUACUGCGGUGCUUGAGGACUGGAGAGGAGACUGGAAUUUACGGUGUAGCGGUGAAAUGCGUAGAUAUCGUAAGGAAGACCAGUGGCGAAGGCGGGUCUCUGGACAGUUCCUGACACUGAGACGCGAAAGCGUGGGGAGCGAACCGG